AAAAUUUCUCAACUCACUUUGUUCUUGAGUUUAGUCUUGGUUCACAUAACUACUAGGCUUUGAAUUUCAUGGGAAAUGUUUUGUUUUGAGUGCAUACAAGCAUGAUUCCGCCUUUAAUUAUUAAUUGCAUGCCAUAGAUGUUACUCAAAUAAACAUGUUUUUCAUAAAAUUUCCUUCAAGUGGUAUCAAGAGCCUAGGUCUAGUAGUUGGUGAAUCCUUUUGGGUUUUGUAUUUUCAUAGUUUAUGAUUUGAAUGUUGUAAUUGUUACAAGCUUUAUUCUUGCUUCUUUAAAUGUAAAUUUUGUUAGAAAAUUUGCCAUUGCAAAUGUUGUAGAUGUAGUUCAUAUGAGCAUGAAUUUUGGAGCUAAAAUUUGGUGCCAUGUUUUUGGGGAAAUUCGGCCAAAUCCAAAGGGUGGAUUUUUGGGUUCAUGUUUGUCUUGUUAAAAGUGUUUUAAAGUGACAUUAGGAACCCCUAAGUACCCUAGUAUGGUAAUAUGUUUUUUUCCCUUAUGUUUGAGAGUUUUUGGGUAGAAAAUGUUCAUGGAGCUCUUAUGGGUUUUCAUGAAUGUCCUUCAUUGUUCUUGUUAUGUUCUAACCAAGAACAAAAAGGUUUGGUGUUUUGAUUCAAAGUGUUUGAUGUUUUUCAUAAAGUUUUGUUUUUGGUGGUUGGUGUGACUUUAUUGUAAUAAAUUGUAUGACAUGAUUUGUCCUUUUUCAAUCAACGCCAUACCAAUCACUUACACCUUUUUCUUGUUUCAAGGAACCAUGUUUUAUGGAAAUCACUUUUUCAAACCUACCCAUCACCUUUCACUUUUGUUAAAAAAAUUCAAAAGUUUUAUGACACCAUCCAAAACCAGCCACCCUAUUAAAUAGGGUACUUUUGGGGCUUUUGUGCAAUUACAUAAAGUUUUGAUACUUUUGUGUAUUUGUUCUUUGACCCGAAAGUUUACGUUUUUACGUAAAGGCCCAAAAUCACUAAAUGACAAAUUGUUUUGCUCCUUUAAUGAAGUUUUUGCAUUUGUUGAAAUUUUUUGGUUCUAAUUGUAAUUACAUGAAGUAGUGGACUUUUGUGUUUUUACAAAGGGACCUCAAAAGUUUAUGUUUUGCAAUAUUGCCCAAUGGUUGAGGUUAUUGCUAUUCGGCCCAAAUUAGUUGAGAACAAAAUAGUUUUGUAUCUUUAAGUGAGAAUUGGAUUUUCAUUUCAUUUAGCUCCAUUUAAAUCAAUUCUAUGGAAACAAAAACCAAAUGAAAAUGUUGCAUUCAAGUUUAAUUAGUUAAAGCAUUAAUUAAUUAAAGAAAG
RNAcentral lists this long non-coding RNA (1299 nucleotides) under Malus domestica (apple). Its description in RNAcentral is "long non-coding RNA (MDOM_LNC000030)". The record is from RNAcentral. Lineage: Eukaryota; Viridiplantae; Streptophyta; Magnoliopsida; Rosales; Rosaceae.